AUGGAGAAAGUGUCAGGUCUGAUGGAGAGGCUGCGUCUGUCAGAGGCGGAGAAGAAGGGGAUCCGGAUCGGCUGGGCUGACGGCAAAAAGUUUGGGGAAGUCGAGGCGCAUGCCAUGAUGAAGCUGCUAUCUGAAAAACAAGUGAUUGCGAAGGCUUUAGAGAACUCAGUGGGCAGGAUUUGGUGCCCGUUGAGGGGGGUGGAGUGCAAGACCAUGGGAGAGAACAUUUUCCACAUCAAGUUUCUGCAGCAAUCAGGGAAGAGAAAGGCCAUGGAGGAAGGACCGUGGGUGUUCAAAGGGGACGCCCUAGUGCCAGAGGAGUUUGACCCAAGAAAGACCUUGGAUGAGUACAACUUCGCAACUAUGCCUGUGUGGGUUAGAGUCUCUGGGUUGCCUCUGAGUAUGCUAAAUGCAGGUGCUGGGGAGAUAAUUGGUGAUGAGGUCAGAGAGUUCAUGGAUACAGAGGUGGCAGUGGAUGCGGUGUCGAGAUUACGGAUCCUACGAGUCAAGAUUCGUUUGAAUAUCAAAGAGCCGCUCUGGCGUGGGAUCACAGUUCAUGAUGAGGACAAGCUGUGUGCUGGGGGAGGUGGGAGCCAAGUAGAUGGACAGGAAAAGAAGAAGGAGGAAGAUGAAGGAAAAUGGUGUCCGUUUUCUUAUGAAUUCAUUCCCGAUUUUUGCCACACUUGUGGGAUAAUUGGCCAUACAGAUAAGUCCUGCUCGACUAAGCUGACUCAAGGGGAAGUGCAGCAAUGGGGAUCUUGGCUGAGUUGGAAGCCGGCUAAGAGAGUCGAUUGGGGUUCGGACAGUACCUCGGGAAGCAAGUGGCGUGGAGGGAAGUGA
This 840-nucleotide ribosomal RNA is filed under the name Triticum aestivum (bread wheat). RNAcentral describes it as "partial small subunit ribosomal RNA". The record is from RNAcentral. Lineage: Eukaryota; Viridiplantae; Streptophyta; Magnoliopsida; Poales; Poaceae.